This 114-nucleotide transfer RNA is filed under the name Thermochaetoides thermophila DSM 1495. RNAcentral describes it as "Chaetomium thermophilum var. thermophilum DSM 1495 tRNA". It matches the Rfam family "tRNA". Rfam says of the family: Transfer RNA (tRNA) molecules are approximately 80 nucleotides in length. Lineage: Eukaryota; Fungi; Ascomycota; Sordariomycetes; Sordariales; Chaetomiaceae. The record is from Rfam by way of RNAcentral.
GGCAAGAUGGCCGAGCGGUCCAAGGCGCCAGGUUCAGGUCAACCUGAAUUUUCAGAUCACCCAGAUCUUCCUGGUCUCCGAAAGGGGGCGUGAGUUCGAAUCUCACUCUUGUCA